RNA transcript from Globicephala melas (long-finned pilot whale), 3762 nucleotides. It is a transcript of the gene named adenosine deaminase, with no coding region annotated. NCBI's taxonomy places the organism in Eukaryota, Metazoa, Chordata, Mammalia, Artiodactyla, Delphinidae. The record is from RefSeq and is a predicted model, not a curated record.
GAAGUCUGGUAGUACUCACCAAUCACCAUAUUCUUUCUGGGCACACAGUUGGACCACAUUUCGCAACCCCCUGUGUGGUUAGAGGUGGUCAUGUGACUGAGUUCUAGCCAAUGGGAUGUGAGUAAAAAUAACUGCACCAUUUUCAGGUCUGGCCUAUAAACACCUCCUACCCACAAUCUUUGCUUUCCUUCCUCAUCUGUCUGCUUUGAAAAGGACUCUGAGGACAAAGAAAGCAGAGUCACAAGACAGGAAGAGUCUCAGUCCUUAAAUGGCUCCCCAGAGCAGAGCCCUCCUGCCAAGACUUCUUGUGCAGUGAUGUGAGAAAAAAACAAAGGUCAGAGCCCCUGGGCUGGGAGCUGCAGCCCCUCCUACACAGCAACUCAGCAAGCACCACCUCAACCCCUGCUCCCUUCAUCUUCUCUGAGUCCAUAGUGGCUGAAGACAUGAGGCCAGGGAUGGGUCCUGGUCCACUUCCUCUGCUUGCUGGAGGAAUAAUCAGGUGAUGGGACAUGAAGGAGCUUAAAAGAGGGUGUGGCACAAAACAAGGCUAAGUAUAUAAUAGCUGGGUUUUGGAGGGUUUUGUUUGUUUGAAUUUAUUUUAUUUAUUUGGCUGCACCAGGUCUUAGUUGUGGCACACAGGAUCUUUUUAGUUGUGGCAUGCGGACUCUUAGUUGUGGCAUGCGGGAUCUAGUUUCCUGACCAGGGAUCGAACCUGGGCCCCCUGUAUUGAGAGUGUGGAGUCUUAACCGCUGGACCACCAGGCAAGUCCCUGGGUUUUUUUGGUUUGUUUUGUUUGGUUGGUAGCUAGAAUUCUUGACAUUUAGAAAGUCCAGAGAUGGGGAGAGAAAGGAUGGCCUGGAGCUUAGCAAAGGAGGCAGCAGGUAGAGCUGGAUAUUCAUGGGUCCACCACUGCCUCGCCAGCUUCCAGACCUCAGUCUCCUGUUGUGUGGAAUGGCCACCUCACUUCACAGCAAGGACGGGACAUGCAGCAAUACCUGGGACCCUCAUACACAUGUGACCCCAUUCCUGACCUGGUCAGGGCCCCAGCUUCCCUCCACAUUGGGCCGGGCACACAGAGUGUUGAUCAAAUCUAGGCUUAACACCCACCAGGGCAUUUGGAAUCUCCUGGCCUGGAUUCUCCCUCCCAGGGAACUGUAGGGGCCUUCUGGAGACAUUUUCCCCGAAAAAGCACCCCAGUGGAGAGUACCCCUAUGAGCACAUCACCUGAGCACCAGCUCUUUGGUGGUGCUGGGUGAGGACCACUUUAUAUGAGCCAAUCUGCUGUCCUGCCACAGGGCCCUGUCUUCGUAUCUGCCAUUCAACUCUUGCCUAAUUGACAGUUACACUCAAGUCCUUCCUCUGCUCUGAAACCUCCCAUGGCUCUCCAUCGCCUGAUUCCUCGCCCUGACAUUCAAGGCCACGCAUGGCUUGAGUCGCUCUGUCUGUGGAGGGCAUGCCUAGGUUGCAUGAGAGGCACUCACUAACAUCCUGCCCUUCCUUUAAGAUUGAAGUAAAUGCCACUUCAUUCAUUUAUUCCUCUAUCAUGCAUUCAUUCAUUCAUUCAACACAAUUUAUUAAACACAUAAUUUAUUUAUUGAUACAUCUUUGUCACCUACUAGGUGAAGACAUGAUUCUAGGCCUGGAGUAGAAAGAGACUGUGGUCUUAACCAAUUCCUGAGCCUGUCUCAAGCCCCCAUCCACACCCCAGUCCCUUGAGGGUCCUUCCAAAGCUUCUGCUGUUGCUUCUUCUUGACUGAUGUCAACCAAGAUGACCAACCUGCUUGUUAUGGUGUUUUCUAACUGUGCAAGUAAGCUUAGCCACUGUGUUGAGCAACCUAGAAACUCCAGGAACGUAACAUCCUGGAGCAGCCCUCCAACAACGACAGUCGACAGUGGGUGGACAAACCUGGCAGCCUCCUCGCUCCUCAGUUGGAUUAGCUCUGGGACACAUUCUUCGUUCAUCUCCGAGUUCCCCUGAGGGACUGAGCUCCAGUUGUCCUGUCUGGUAGAACUGCACGUCCAUCUGGAUGGAGCCAUCAAGCCUGAAACCAUCUUAUAUUAUGGCAGGAAGCGAGGCAUCACCCUCCCUGCCGACACACCAGAGGAGCUGCAGGACAUCAUCGGCAUGGACAAGCCGCUCAGCCUCCCGGGCUUCCUGGCCAAGUUCGCCUACUACAUGCCCGCCAUCGCGGGCUGCCGGGAGGCCAUCAAAAGGACUGCCUACGAGUUUGUGGAGAUGAAGGCCAAGGAGGGCGUGGUGUACGUGGAGGUGCGCUACAGCCCGCACCUGCUGGCCAACUCCAAAGUGGAGCCGAUCCCCUGGAACCAGGCUGAAGGGGACCUCACCCCGGAUGAGGUGGUGUGUCUAGUGGACCAGGGCCUGCAAGACGGAGAGCGAGACUUCGGGGUGAAGGUGCGGUCCAUCCUGUGCUGCAUGCGCCACCAGCCCAGCUGGUCCCCCGAGGUGGUGGAGCUGUGUAAGAAGUACCGGCAGCAGACCGUGGUGGCCAUCGACCUGGCCGGAGAUGAGACCAUCCAAGGCAGCACCCUCUUCCCUGAACACGUGCAGGCCUACGCGGAGGCCGUGAAGAGCGGCGUCCACCGCACGGUCCACGCCGGGGAGGUGGGCUCGGCCGAGGUGGUGAGAGAGGUGAGUGGCUGGGCAGGCGGUGGGGCCCUUCUCCCCGCUCGCCCCGCAGCCCGUGCUGGGCUCCACGCUGCUUGUCAACAGGCCGUGGACGUGCUCAAGACCGAGAGGCUGGGGCACGGCUACCACACUCUGGAGGACCCGGCCCUCUACAACAGGCUGCGGCAGGAAAACAUGCACUUCGAGGUCUGCCCCUGGUCCAGCUACCUCACCGGCACCUGGAAGCCAGGCACGGAGCAUGCAGUCGUUCGGUUCAAAAACGAUCAGGCUAAUUACUCCCUCAACACGGAUGACCCACUCAUCUUCAAGUCCACCCUGGACACUGAUUACCAGAUGACCAAACAGGACAUGGGCUUCACUGAAGAGGAGUUUAAGAGACUGGCCACUCAGAGACCCCAGGAUGAGCCCUUGAUUUCCGUGGUUCUGACAUCCCAAGUCUGUCCCUGCAGGACUGUCUCUCUGGCGCCACACAUCCCACCCCGUCUCUCAAAGGUUUCUCCAACCUCCCUGCCACAUCUGUGUAUCACGUCCUGCCACGUUAAGAACCCAGAACCUCACAGUCUCUGCUCUGGCGGGUGCUGCCGCGUGACCUUGGACAAGGCCUCGCCACUCUGAGCUUAAUGAAUUGCCCAUGUUUAAUGGACUGUCACUAGAUUGCUAAGGACUCCCUCCUAUGCUCUCUGGUUUCACACUGUCUGCCGUGCUGGCCCUUCCAGAACAUCAAUGCGGCAAAGUCCAGUUUCCUCCCAGAAGAUGAGAAGAGGGAGCUUCUUGAUCUGCUCUAUAAAGCCUACGGGAUGCCACCUUUGGCCUCUGCAGGGCAGUGUCCCUGAAGACAUCGUGGCCACCUCUCAGAGUCCUCACCCUGUGGAUGGAGUCCUCACAGCUCCCUUUACUCCUUCCAGGGAGACUAUGAUUUCCAGAGUCAGCUACUGACGCUCGUGAAGCCCACAUGCCUGUUUCCGUACACACAUAUACCUCCGCCUGGCCGUGUCUCUCCUCUGAUUGUGUGCCCGGGCCAGGAUCAGGGCCUGUGGCUGGUUGAAUCUGAAUCCCUCCCUCCUCUGGUAACCUGUGCUGAAAAUCUGGUGCUUAAUAAAGAAAACAACAGCUGG